CCUUUCCAUUAUGACUUUGGCUCUUGCCGGAGGUAGGCUACUGCAGGGGCAUGAGCCAUAUCAUGGCAUGAGCCACUAUCUUGCUCAUGUUCCAGAAUGAGGAGACAUCUGGGUGCUGGCCCAGCUGCUGGCCAAUGAGAGGCUUGCCAAGCAUGGUACUCUCCCAGGUGAACUCUGUCCUCUCAGGUGACACAGUCCUCCCAUGUGACAUUAGCCCACAGUGGACAGCUACCCACGAGGCAUCACACAGCCAGGACAGGGGAUGGCCACAUUGACUGGGUAAUUGUGACUUACAGACAAGGCACCUUCUGUCCCCUACUCAUUUUGAGCCUCCAGGAUAUCCCCUGCUGAGAGUCCCACAGGAGCCUGUGACUGGUCAGAGACCCCACACCCCAAGUCAGAUGCCUCUUGUCCCCAUCAGCAAACGGGAUCACAGCUGCCCCGUGACCACCUUCUGCAUCCUGGUGCCACAGCCCUCUGGCCCUGACCUUAUGCAGGGGACUCUUAUCACCCUGCUGGUCCUUCAGCCUCCCAGCUGGCCACCCUCCCAACCACCCACCCUGCCCAUGGCUAGACCAAGCCCAGAUGACAGCUUCUCUCUGUCCUGUGUCCCCUGCCCUGACCCCACAUCCAGGAGAAGGCCACACAUCCUCCAGCACCCCUGGUCACCCCACCAGCUCCCACCUGUCCUCACUGCUUUAAAGGCAGGCCUGCCCUUCUGAAACCAUGGCCCAGGAAGCCGCUAAGCAGUGCCUCCAGCCAGGCCCCAGAGGACAUUCCCAUCGCCCCUCCUCUCCUGGCCAAGACCACACGAUGGGGUCACUGGAUGGGAGAGUGAAAGGCCUUGGAGUCUGGAAGCAACCACCACUGCCCAACCGCCACUGCCCAACUGCCACUGCCCAACUGCCACUGCCCAACUGCCACUACCCAGCCUGAUGGCUCCACAUCUCAGGAGUAGGCUCUGAUUUCUUGGGGCUCCAGGAGCCUCUCAGGAGUCUACAUCCCAAGAUGUUCUAACUUCCAGAGUCUCCAAGGCCAUCAAGAGCAAGUUUUGCUAAAAGUGCUCCAAGAGCUUAUGAAGCACAUGGUAUCUUCUUUCCCUACAGUGCUCAGCUCUCCCAGCCCAGGGCUCUGGCUUCCCCAGGAGGACCCAGCUCACCCUCACCCCACAGGAGGCACAGGCAGGUCUCUGCAGGGCACACAAGCCAGGACCUGCCUGAUGGAAGCAUCACACACCAGAAACCAGGGAUUUCUGGGCGGACUGGGCCAGGACCCAUCUUGGAAGAGCCGGAGGAGCCAGGGAAACCACGAGCCCUAAGGAAAUCCCUUAUUCUGAGAGCCACAUUUCUGCUGAGAUGAGUCCAUCCCCAUGAAGAGCCGCCGAACCUUGUCUGACCCAGCCUUAUGGAAGCUAGGGUGGGUCUCUUCCCAAGCAGAGGGAGCCUCAGGAAGUCCAGACUGAGGCUACAGUGGGCCCUGCUCAAGCCACCAGCCCCGAGGCUGGAAAGGCCAGGUCCUCCCAUACCUGCUGUUCCCGCAGACUUCCUUCAUGCUCAUCCUGAGGCUCUGGGAUGUCUACCUCCUGGAAGGUGAGUGCGUGGUGACAACUAUGGUAUGCAUGGCCUUCACAGCACACAGAAUUAAGUCCCUGGGUGGCCAAUGGUGCCCAGAAGGAGCAUGCAGGACAGACCCUGGAUCCUAUCCACCAAUGGUGCCCAGAAGGAGCAUGCAGGACAGAUCCCUGGCUUCUGGUGUGUGAUGACCUGAGACCAGCAUCCACACUGUCCUCAUGGCUCUCUGCUCCAGCCCGGAGGUAGGGCCAGACCAGGCCUGGUUGGCUGGGCAGGGAGUGGACCCAGGUACCAAACCCACUCCUGGCACAACCUAGAUGAAAGGCAGGAGUGUGGUGAGCACUUCCCUGCCCAGGCCUUCCUCCAGCUGUGGUUCUCUGUGAACAUCUGGACCCCUGGGGCAGCCACAGUAGGAUCCAGCACUGCCCAGUGGAGGGUGCCUGGAGCGGGAACAAGGUGCAGAAACUGACUCUCCCACAGACCCUUCCCAGCCUGAUAGUCACCCUGUUCCUGGAACACCCCCUGAAGCUGUUCCUGUUUGGCCUGCAGGAGUUCCUUCAGGACACACUGUCCUAGGCCUGGGCCCUGGAGGAGGACAUGGUGAUGAGGCGCCCUGAGGCCUCCAUGGGGGAACUGAGAAGCAUGCACUGUGACCUGCACACCCAGGCGGGCUUCAGAACCAAGUUUCCUCCUGCGUCACCCUGUGGGGCAGUAAAUAGUGGGAAGUGCCUAGACCUCACCAGCCCUGUUCCCUGGGCCUUUCCUCCAGCCCUUUCUCUCUCUCCUCCUCUAAGAAGCUUCUGAAAACAGGCUGACUGAGCCUAGGGCAAAAGCUGACCUUGGGUUUACUGGACAUGCCUCGGAGACAAUGAGACGUGAGCAAGACUCUUCCAAGCCCCUCCCAUGUAGCCUCCUGCUCUCACUCCUGAAAGCCCCAGAAGGACACUGGAGGGCUCAGAUCCAUCUGUGCAAGCCCACAACCACACCUGUGAGUACCAGCAGCCCUGGAGAGCAGUGGGGCCUUCACUCCUGAGCACCCCUCCAAGGGCCUAAAAUCAGUGUCAGACCCUAAGAAGAUUUAGGGAGAGGGCAUAUGUGAAACCCUGGCCCAGAGCCAGAAUUGAGAGCUCAGCUAAGUGUGGUAACAGUCCAGCCCUGGCAUGGAGAUCCCCCAGAGGAGUGGAGGGUAUCUCACCCACUGUGGAGAUAAGCCCCCAUAUUGGGUGGCAAAGGGGCCCCAUCCAUCUGAGCUCUGAAUCAAGGCUAAAGCCCAGGCUAAGCAGCCCUGGGGCAAGGGUGUGAGGCAGGAAGCCUGAGUCAGCCCGAACCCUGGGGGCUGCCCCUGGAGUGACUUGAGGUUCCCUAACAGCUACACACACAUCUCGCUCUGGGAGCAGCAGCCUGCAGAAGUGUCCUCAGCGUUAGACCAGGGGGACCACACGGUGACCCUGAGGACUGCAGGGACCCAAGUCUGUGGGGUCCAGCCUGGCAAAAGCAAGAUGUUCUCAGUGGAGAAGCUGACCAAAUCUGCUUUCCUUUCAGCCAAACCUGAGCAAGUACCCCCAGCACUCAGGUCUCUGCAGACAUCCCCUAGCAUUGAGACCCUCCCCAAGGGGACGGGCUGGUUCUCCCUGGCCCACAGCCCAGCUCCAGCAGCCCAUGGGUGUAGCCCUCCUGAGGGUGUAGCCCUCCUGAAACAAGAGCCUCAUCCUCCCUCACCCUCGCCUAGCUAGGCUAUAUGCAAGGCCAAAGCCCAGAGGCAUGAGGGAGCUUCUGCAGAGCCCAGGACAGCAGGCUGCUCUCUGGGGGCCCUGGGGACUCAAAAGAGUGUGGCCAGCCCAUCCCCAGCUCAGGAUAGACCACAGGGUGCUUGGUGAUUCCUACAUUGGAACUCCCUCUCUAAGCUCCCCAUGGACCUGGACCUCAGAGGCCUGUGGUUUUCACAGUACAGCUUGGAGCAGACAUGCUAGGCCCCUGUCACUUCCAUAUCUGCCCUGGACACCUCUAAGACCACAGGACUGGCCCAGCCCCCAAUACGAGACCCUGCCCAGACCCCUGAUAGCCCAGAGGUAGGGCCAGAGACAACUUUCCUGCAUGUGGUGCCUAUAUCUGACAGAUCACCCUUGGCAGACGGUGACCAGCAUGGCCCAGAAGGAGCCAGGGCAGCACCUGGCAAGCUGCCCCAAAGCCCCAGAUAGCUCCUUAGACAUGGAAAGUCAAUACUGAUGGGGAAGCUGGACACUUGGAGGCCACUGGAGGGAAGGGUGAGCAUGGCAUUCCCACUGCUCAGGCCAGCCAGCAGCAUGCCCUGCAUCCACGGUCCCAACCUGUACGGCAGAAUCCCCCUCUCAAUGCACAAUUCCCAGACCCAAAGGGCCCUAGCCCAGACUCAACCUGAGCCCUGAAAGGGAAGGGGCACCAGGGGUGCCUUGGGGUCCCCAGCAGCAGCCAAGAUACACAGGAGACAGAGUCCCCUGUGGCCCUGGCCAGAACUAGUAUUUGGCUUAAGGCAGAGCAAGCCCCCUUGGAGCACUGCGUACAUACCCGGGGCCUAUGUGUGCCUAGCAAGGCCAAGCUGAUGAUGUUACCAAGCUCAAACUACCGCUGUCCACCUUGGUGAGGGUAGGGCAGAAACAGGCGGACCAGCCACCAACCUCAUCCAUUCAAGGAAGCAGAAAUGGUCAGGCUCCUGCAGGAUAGGUUGUCACCACCAGACCAGCAAUGGGGUGGAGUCCUGAGGCCCAAGCAGAUGGCACUGGGGCCCUGCUUCCAGGGUCCACAAUCUGCUCCAGGACACAGAACUGAAGAAAACCAAGAAAAUGAGAGUCCAGGAGGCUGGAUCCCUCAUCUGCCAUUCUUGGCAGUUGCAUUUUCUGGUCAGAAAAAGUCAGGAAACUUGGCACUACUCACCGCAGAAGGCUCCAAGGUGGGACCAGAGCUUCCAGCACAGAUUCAGCAAUGCCUAAGAAAGCCUCUUGUUGGGGGAAAGAACCCCUUCCUUGGCCUCAAAGCCCCCACUGAUUUUGAUUAAAGCACAGUAAAGUCUUUGUUGUUA
Macaca mulatta (Rhesus monkey) is the source of this 4626-nucleotide non-coding RNA. The record is from RefSeq and is a predicted model, not a curated record. NCBI's taxonomy places the organism in Eukaryota, Metazoa, Chordata, Mammalia, Primates, Cercopithecidae.